Molecule: ribosomal RNA, 550 nt
Filed under: uncultured bacterium
Lineage: Bacteria
Description: bacterial SSU rRNA
Rfam family: Bacterial small subunit ribosomal RNA
Source: RNAcentral
UAGGGAAUCUUCGGCAAUGGACGGAAGUCUGACCGAGCAACGCCGCGUGAGCGAAGAAGGUUUUCGGAUCGUAAAGCUCUGUUGUAAGAGAAGAACGAGUGUGAGAGUGGAAAGUUCACACUGUGACGGUAUCUUACCAGAAAGGGACGGCUAACUACGUGCCAGCAGCCGCGGUAAUACGUAGGUCCCGAGCGUUGUCCGGAUUUAUUGGGCGUAAAGCGAGCGCAGGCGGUUAGAUAAGUCUGAAGUUAAAGGCUGUGGCUUAACCAUAGUACGCUUUGGAAACUGUUUAACUUGAGUGCAAGAGGGGAGAGUGGAAUUCCAUGCGUAGCGGUGAAAUGCGUAGAUAUAUGGAGGAACACCGGUGGCGAAAGCGGCUCUCUGGCUUGUAACUGACGCUGAGGCUCGAAAGCGUGGGGAGCAAACAGGAUUAGAUACCCUGGUAGUCCACGCCGUAAACGAUGAGUGCUAGGUGUUAGACCCUUUCCGGGGUUUAGUGCCGCAGCUAACGCAUUAAGCACUCCGCCUGGGGAGUACGACCGCAAGGUUG